Molecule: ribosomal RNA, 507 nt
Filed under: Triticum aestivum (bread wheat)
Lineage: Eukaryota; Viridiplantae; Streptophyta; Magnoliopsida; Poales; Poaceae
Description: partial small subunit ribosomal RNA
Source: RNAcentral
AUGCUACUAGGGCGUGGGCGUCUCGAACGUGAGCAGGCCACCGGCAAUGUCGAAGAUCAUGUUGGUGCCCGUUUGCAGCAGGCUGCCGAGGACCGAUCCACCCUUGGACGGCAGUACGGUCAGGCACACUUUCAACCCGUCCUUGAAGAAGUAGUUCUCGGGCUUGACCUCCAUCGUCGCGUUCACGCCAUCGAACACCAGCGUCAGCGCCGGCACCGUCACGUCGGAGAAGGACCACCUCCUGUAGCACAGCUGGUGGAGGUCCUCCGCGUCCACCGGAGUCACACCCUGAGACUCGAUGCUGCUCACCAGCGCGCGCCUCAAGGCGCCGUACGCGGUCUCCUCGAGGUAGGUCGCCGGCCAGGUCGAGCUCAGGAAUACCCCGCCGGAGCCGUCCGCCUGGAGGUCGAACGUCCCCGCCGGGAUGCCGUCGAGGUCAUGGCCGUCGACCUGUAUGCUGCUGAGCCCGACGUAGUACAGGUCAGGUUGCAUGACGCUUCUAAGUAG